CUCCCCAGGCAAGGUGCCCCCGCUUGGAAGGAAUCCGUUUCCCCGAGUGUCUAACGCAGCCCUGGACACACCAAGGCUGGCCAAGUGCUCAGGGAAGGACUCUCCACGUCUGUGCCUGGCCCGCACAGCCCAGCUCGGUGCUGGCCCUGGAGCAGAGCAGCUUCCAGCAAGCAAGAAGCAAACGCAUCUUGCCAAGAGCUAAAGCACACCAGAUAGGGAAGAUGGCAUUAAUGUGUGCAUAAAGGCCUUUGAAUUCACAGCUCUCUGAGAGACAUUUGGGGCUCUUGGCUGGACAGAGAUGAUCCGGCUCUGUCCUGUGCUCAAAGUGCUGUGCAACUGGAGCAGCAGGACAGGGACCUUUGCAGCCUGAGCUGCCCUUGUUCCUCUCUGCCCGUGUACAGACAACAGCAUGGAAGAGAAGGGCAGCAUAGCCCUGCAUGUCCCCAGGCUCAGGAUUUGUGCUGCUUCAUCUCCACGGACGGAGCCAUGGGUCAAGCGAAAAAGCCAAACUGUUUAUUAAGGGAACACAAGGUGAAGGGGUGA
Molecule: long non-coding RNA, 543 nt
Organism: Passer domesticus (house sparrow)
Lineage: Eukaryota; Metazoa; Chordata; Aves; Passeriformes; Passeridae
Exons: 2
Source: RefSeq, a predicted model, not a curated record